GCCGGGCAUGGUGGCUCACGCCUGUAACCCAAGCACUUCGGAGGCCAAGCUGGGCGGAUCACCUGAGGUCAGGAGUUUGAGACCAGCCUGGCCAUCAUGAUGAAACCCCAUCUUUUUUUUUUUUUUAAGACAGGUUUCACCAUGUUGGUCAGGCUGGUCUCAAACUCCUGACCUCAGGUGAUCCGCCCAGCUU
Unclassified non-coding RNA from Callithrix jacchus (white-tufted-ear marmoset), 193 nucleotides. It matches the Rfam family "Metazoan signal recognition particle RNA". From Rfam's summary of the family: The signal recognition particle (SRP) is a universally conserved ribonucleoprotein. It is involved in the co-translational targeting of proteins to membranes. The record is from Ensembl. Lineage: Eukaryota; Metazoa; Chordata; Mammalia; Primates; Cebidae.